UGCCCGCGUCCAUGGAGACCGAUAAACUUUACCUCUAUUCAGUGGGACUAAAUAGGCACCCAUUGUAAACUUUAUCGCGUGGAUCGAAUCGAUUGAGGAAGAAUAUCGGCGACUACUGAGAGUGGACAGAAAUACCUAUGGAAGCGUCGACAAGGCCAAGACAGAAGCGAGAUAAUUGAUUAAUUACUUUUGAACCGGUGUGCACCGUUGCGUGGUGGUUGUCGGCGACGCCGUUUUUCAAGUGUUACCGCACAAAACCAACGCGACACCAUGCGCGAAAAGGUAUAUGGAUGGUAUCCGGCUGCUUACAACACAUACGACAACCCCUUAGCUAAGCAAUUUCCAAGAGGGAAAUUAAAAUACGAAAAAGAGGUGUUGUACCGCCACUGGAGAAGUCAGGCCAACCAUGGCACCAGAGGUGUUACACCCCCACAGCCUCCCACGCCUAUCCGCAUUAAACACGAGGCCAUGUUGCAACGCCCGGCGUCCCACGUCUCAUCUACGCCAAGAACCCCCGUGUCUAACCAGGCCAUUGUAGAACACUACCUUCGCAUUCAAGGCGG
This is a long non-coding RNA of Lingula anatina, 563 nucleotides long. NCBI's taxonomy places the organism in Eukaryota, Metazoa, Brachiopoda, Lingulata, Lingulida, Lingulidae. The record is from RefSeq and is a predicted model, not a curated record.